AGAGUUUGAUCAUGGCUCAGAUUGAACGCUGGCGGCAUGCCUUACACAUGCAAGUCGAACGGUAACAGGUCUUCGGAUGCUGACGAGUGGCGAACGGGUGAGUAAUACAUCGGAACGUGCCCGAUCGUGGGGGAUAACGAGGCGAAAGCUUUGCUAAUACCGCAUACGAUCUACGGAUGAAAGCGGGGGAUCUUCGGACCUCGCGCGGACGGAGCGGCCGAUGGCAGAUUAGGUAGUUGGUGGGAUAAAAGCUUACCAAGCCGACGAUCUGUAGCUGGUCUGAGAGGAUGAUCAGCCACACUGGGACUGAGACACGGCCCAGACUCCUACGGGAGGCAGCAGUGGGGAAUUUUGGACAAUGGGCGAAAGCCUGAUCCAGCCAUGCCGCGUGCAGGAUGAAGGCCUUCGGGUUGUAAACUGCUUUUGUACGGAACGAAAAGCCUCUUUCUAAUAAAGAGGGGUCAUGACGGUACCGUAAGAAUAAGCACCGGCUAACUACGUGCCAGCAGCCGCGGUAAUAC
This 521-nucleotide ribosomal RNA is filed under the name uncultured bacterium. Its description in RNAcentral is "bacterial SSU rRNA". It matches the Rfam family "Bacterial small subunit ribosomal RNA", at positions 8 to 526 of the family's 1533-position model. The record is from RNAcentral.